RNAcentral lists this ribosomal RNA (284 nucleotides) under uncultured Parvimonas sp. Its description in RNAcentral is "partial 16S ribosomal RNA". It matches the Rfam family "Bacterial small subunit ribosomal RNA", at positions 68 to 339 of the family's 1533-position model. Lineage: Bacteria; Bacillati; Bacillota; Tissierellia; Tissierellales; Peptoniphilaceae. The record is from RNAcentral.
UUUUUGUGGAAAUUCUUUCGGGAAUGGAAAUGAAAUGAAAGUGGCGAACGGGUGAGUAACACGUGAGCAACCUACCUUACACAGGGGGAUAGCCGUUGGAAACGACGAUUAAUACCGCAUGAGACCACAGAAUCGCAUGAUAUAGGGGUCAAAGAUUUAUCGGUGUAAGAAGGGCUCGCGUCUGAUUAGCUAGUUGGAAGGGUAAAGGCCUACCAAGGCGACGAUCAGUAGCCGGUCUGAGAGGAUGAACGGCCACAUUGGAACUGAGACACGGUCCAAACUCC